This 451-nucleotide ribosomal RNA is filed under the name uncultured bacterium. Its description in RNAcentral is "partial 16S ribosomal RNA". It matches the Rfam family "Bacterial small subunit ribosomal RNA", at positions 329 to 795 of the family's 1533-position model. The record is from RNAcentral.
UUCCAGACUCCUACGGGAGGCAGCAGUGGGGGAUAUUGCACAAUGGGGGAAACCCUGAUGCAGCGACGCCGCGUGGGUGAAGAAGCGCCUCGGCGCGUAAAGCCCUAUCGGCAGGGAAGAAGAAAUGACGGUACCUGAAUAAGAAGCACCGGCUAAAUACGUGCCAGCAGCCGCGGUAAUACGUAUGGUGCAAGCGUUAUCCGGAUUUACUGGGCGUAAAGGGAGCGCAGGCGGCGCGCCAAGUCUGAUGUGAAACCCCGGGGCUCAACCCCGGGCAUGCAUUGGAAACUGGCGGGCUGGAGUGCCGGAGAGGUAAGCGGAAUUCCUAGUGUAGCGGUGAAAUGCGUAGAUAUUAGGAGGAACACCGGUGGCGAAGGCGGCCUGCUGGACUGCAACUGACGUUGAGGCCCGAAAGCGUGGGGAGCAAACAGGAUUAGAUACCCUAGUACUC